GACGAACGCUGGCGGCGGGCUUAACACAUGCAAGUCGAACGGAAAGGCCCUGCGUGUGUGGGCUUCUCGAUUGGCGAACGGGUGAGUAACACGUGAGUAACCUACCCUAGACUUUGGUAUAACUUCAGGAAACUGGGGCUAAUACCGUAUAGGAUCUCCUGCUCCAGUGUGGGGGGGGGAUAUUUGAGGCUGUUGGGGAUGGAUGCGCGGCUGAUCAGCUUGUUGGUGGGGGAGUGGCUGACCAAGGCUUGGACGGGUAGCCGGCCUGAGAGGGUGGACGGGCACAUUACGACUGCGAUACGGCCCAGAGUCGAAUGGGAGGCAGUAGUGGGGAAUAUUGUCCAGUCGGAGGACGCCUGAUGAAGAAACGCUGCGUGCGGGAUGCCGGCCUUUGGGUAGUAAACAGCUUCAGGCUGUGACGAAGCGUGAGUGACGGUACUGGGUAAAGAAGCACCGGCUAACUACGUG
RNAcentral lists this ribosomal RNA (468 nucleotides) under uncultured bacterium. Its description in RNAcentral is "partial 16S ribosomal RNA". It matches the Rfam family "Bacterial small subunit ribosomal RNA", at positions 28 to 507 of the family's 1533-position model. The record is from RNAcentral.